UACGUAGGGGGCAAGCGUUGUCCGGAUUUAUUGGGCGUAAAGCGCGCGUAGGCGGCGCGGUAUGUCGUGCGUGAAAUCUCCCGGCUUAACUGGGAGGGGCCGUGCGAAACUGCCAGGCUUGAGGUCGGAAGGGGAAAGUGGAAUUCCGGGUGUAGUGGUGGAAUACGUAGAUAUCCGGAGGAACACCAGCGGCGAAGGCGGCUUUCUGGUCCGAUACUGACGCUGAGGAGCGAAAGUGUGGGGAGCGAACAGG
This 253-nucleotide ribosomal RNA is filed under the name uncultured bacterium. RNAcentral describes it as "partial 16S ribosomal RNA". It matches the Rfam family "Bacterial small subunit ribosomal RNA", at positions 524 to 776 of the family's 1533-position model. The record is from RNAcentral.